GAUGAACGCUGGCGGCGUGCCUAAUACAUGCAGGUCGAGCGAACAGACGAGGAGCUUGCUCCUCUGACGUUAGCGGCGGACGGGUGAGUAACACGUGGAUAACCUACCUAUAAGACUGGGAUAACUUCGGGAAACCGGAGCUAAUACCGGAUAACAUGUUGAACCGCAUGGUUCAACAGUGAAAGACGGUCUUGCUGUCACUUAUAGAUGGAUCCGCGCCGCAUUAGCUAGUUGGUAAGGUAACGGCUUACCAAGGCAACGAUGCGUAGCCGACCUGAGAGGGUGAUGGGCCACACAGGAACUGAGACACGGUCCAGACUCCUACGGGAGGCAGCAGUAGGGAAUCUUCCGCAAUGGGCGAAAUCCUGACGGAGCAACGCGGCGGGAGUGAAGAAGGUCUGCGGAUCGUAAAACUCUGUUAUUAGGGAAGAACAAAUGUGUAAGUAACGUUGCACGUCUGGACGGUACCUAUCAGAAAGCCACGGCUAACUACGUG
RNAcentral lists this ribosomal RNA (496 nucleotides) under uncultured bacterium. RNAcentral describes it as "partial 16S ribosomal RNA". It matches the Rfam family "Bacterial small subunit ribosomal RNA", at positions 28 to 507 of the family's 1533-position model. The record is from RNAcentral.